GUCAGGAUGGCCGAGUGGUCUAAGGCGCCACACUCAAGCUGUGGAGGCGUGGGUUCAAAUCCCACUUCUGACA
This is a non-coding RNA of Cololabis saira (Pacific saury), 73 nucleotides long. Lineage: Eukaryota; Metazoa; Chordata; Actinopteri; Beloniformes; Belonidae. The record is from the annotation of a RefSeq genome assembly.